Molecule: ribosomal RNA, 253 nt
Filed under: uncultured bacterium
Lineage: Bacteria
Description: partial 16S ribosomal RNA
Rfam family: Bacterial small subunit ribosomal RNA
Source: RNAcentral
UACGUAGGGGGCAAGCGUUGUCCGGAUUUACUGGGCGUAAAGAGCGUGUAGGCGGCCAAGCAGGUCCGUUGUGAAAACUGGAGGCUUAACCUCCAGACGUCGACGGAAACCGCGUGGCUAGAGUCCGGAAGAGGAGAGUGGAAUUCCUGGUGUAGCGGUGAAAUGCGCAGAUAUCAGGAAGAACACCAAUGGCGAAGGCAGGUCUCUGGGCCAUAACUGACGCUGAGAAGCGAAAGCAUGGGGAGCGAACAGG